This 1511-nucleotide ribosomal RNA is filed under the name uncultured bacterium. RNAcentral's name for it is "partial 16S ribosomal RNA". It matches the Rfam family "Bacterial small subunit ribosomal RNA". The record is from RNAcentral.
GCUUAGAGUUUGCUUCUGGCUCAGAUUGAACGCUGGCGGCAGGCCUAACACAUGCAAGUCGAGCGGUAGAGAGGUGCUUGCAUCUCUUGAGAGCGGCGGACGGGUGAGUAAUGCCUAGGAAUCUGCCUAGUGGUGGGGGAUGACGUUCGGAAACGGACGCUAAUACCGCAUACGUCCUACGGGAGAAAGCGGGGGAUCUUCGGACCUCGCGCCAUUAGAUGAGCCUAGGUCGGAUUAGCUAGUUGGUGAGGUAAUGGCUCACCAAGGCGACGAUCCGUAACUGGUCUGAGAGGAUGAUCAGUCACACUGGAACUGAGACACGGUCCAGACUCCUACGGGAGGCAGCAGUGGGGAAUAUUGGACAAUGGGCGAAAGCCUGAUCCAGCCAUGCCGCGUGUGUGAAGAAGGUCUUCGGAUUGUAAAGCACUUUAAGUUGGGAGGAAGGGUAGUAACCUAAUACGUUGCUGCUUUGACGUUACCGACAGAAUAAGCACCGGCUAACUUCGUGCCAGCAGCCGCGGUAAUACGAAGGGUGCAAGCGUUAAUCGGAAUUACUGGGCGUAAAGCGCGCGUAGGUGGUUCAGCAAGUUGGAUGUGAAAGCCCUGGGCUCAACCUGGGAACUGCAUCCAAAACUACUGAGCUAGAGUACGGUAGAGGGUAGUGGAAUUUCCUGUGUAGCGGUGAAAUGCGUAGAUAUAGGGAGGAACACCAGUGGCGAAAGGCGACUACCUGGACUGAUACUGACACUGAGGUGCGAAAGCGUGGGGAGCAAACAGGAUUAGAUACCCUGGUAGUCCACGCCCUAAACGAUGUCAACUAGGUGUUGGGGAAGGAGACUUCUUUAGUACCGCAGCUAACGCGUGAAGUUGACCGCCUGGGGAGUACGGUCGCAAGAUUAAAACUCAAAGGAAUUGACGGGGACCCGCACAAGCGGUGGAUUAUGUGGAUUAAUUCGAUGCAACGCGAAAAACCUUACCUACCCUUGACAUGCCAGGAACCCUGCUGAGAGGCGGGGGUGCCCGAAAGGGAACCUGGACACAGGUGCUGCAUGGCUGUCGUCAGCUCGUGUCGUGAGAUGUUGGGUUAAGUCCCGCAACGAGCGCAACCCUUGCCAAUAAUUGCCAUCAUUCAGUUGGGCACUUUAUUGGGACUGCCGGUGAUAAACCGGAGGAAGGUGGGGAUGACGUCAAGUCCUCAUGGCCCUUAUGGGUAGGGCUUCACACGUAAUACAAUGGUCGGUACAGAGGGUUGCCAAGCAGCGAUGCGGAGCCAAUCCCAGAAAGCCGAUCGUAGUCCGGAUUGUUCUCUGCAACUCGAGAGCAUGAAGUCGGAAUCGCUAGUAAUCGCGGAUCAGCAUGUCGCGGUGAAUACGUUCCCGGGUCUUGUACACACCGCCCGUCACACCAUGGGAGUGGAAUCUGCCAGAAGUAGGUAGCCUAACCGCAAGGAGGGCGCUUACCACGGUGGGUUUCAUGACUGGGGUGAAGUCGUAACAAGGUAACCGUAAAGC